RNAcentral lists this transfer RNA (68 nucleotides) under Aphyosemion cameronense (Cameroon killifish). Its description in RNAcentral is "tRNA-Ser". The record is from RNAcentral. Lineage: Eukaryota; Metazoa; Chordata; Actinopteri; Cyprinodontiformes; Nothobranchiidae.
GAGAGAUACCCGAUCGUAACGAUGACUGCUAAUUUUCGCUUUCUUGGUUUAACUCCAAGACUCCCUCG